AGCCUUCUAAAUCCGUGUCGAGAUUACGUCAGAUACCAGACCAUCAGGAUUAAUGAAGCUCCAAAGGCAGGUGAAGUG
This is a non-coding RNA of Schistosoma curassoni, 78 nucleotides long. NCBI's taxonomy places the organism in Eukaryota, Metazoa, Platyhelminthes, Trematoda, Strigeidida, Schistosomatidae. The record is from Rfam.